Molecule: non-coding RNA, 72 nt
Organism: Parelaphostrongylus tenuis
Lineage: Eukaryota; Metazoa; Nematoda; Chromadorea; Rhabditida; Metastrongylidae
Source: the annotation of a GenBank genome assembly
GCGUCGGUGGCGCAACGGUUAGCUCACGCUUCCAGGAAGAGUGAGAGCGGGGUUGGAAUCCCGGCUGACGCA